CGGGUGAGUAACACGUGGGUUACGUGCCCCGAUGAUUGGGACAACCCGAGGAAACUCGGGCUAAUACCAAAUGUGCUCGUGUCCGUGAUGGACUCGAGGAAAGGAAGCUUCGGCCUCCGCAUCGGGAUCGGCCCGCGGCCCAUUAGCUAGUUGGUGGGGUAACGGCCUACCAAGGCGACGAUGGGUAGCUGGUCUGAGAGGACGAUCAGCCACACUGGGACUGAGACACGGCCCAG
Molecule: ribosomal RNA, 236 nt
Filed under: uncultured bacterium
Lineage: Bacteria
Description: partial 16S ribosomal RNA
Rfam family: Bacterial small subunit ribosomal RNA
Source: RNAcentral